UACGUAGGGUCCGAGCGUUGUCCGGAAUUACUGGGCGUAAAGAGCUCGUAGGUGGUUUGUCGCGUUGUCCGUGAAAUCCCACAACUCAAUUGUGGGUCUGCGGGCGAUACGGGCAGACUGGAGUACUGCAGGGGAGACUGGAAUUCCUGGUGUAGCGGUGGAAUGCGCAGAUAUCAGGAGGAACACCGGUGGCGAAGGCGGGUCUCUGGGCCGAUACUGACGCUGAGGAGCGAAAGCGUGGGGAGCGAACAGG
This 253-nucleotide ribosomal RNA is filed under the name uncultured bacterium. RNAcentral describes it as "partial 16S ribosomal RNA". It matches the Rfam family "Bacterial small subunit ribosomal RNA", at positions 524 to 776 of the family's 1533-position model. The record is from RNAcentral.